CACACAAUAUGGAAAUGCAGUGACGUCACCUCCUGUUGUGUGACAUCUCCUACAUAAUAAGCCAGUGCUGGUGGAUCACACAUCACCUCCUAGAAGUCACCCAGCAGCCAUGAAGACUUUCCUGCUCCUCUUUCUAUCACUGGCCUGCUUGUCAGGUGUCCAGUCUCAAGCACAACUUGUCCAGUCAUCAGACCCAGUGGUGAUAAAGCCUGGGAAUUCCCAUAAACUCUCAUGUAAAGCGUCUGGCUUCACCUUCAGCAGCUAUGAUAUGAACUGGGUUAGACAGAGUCCUGGCGGAGGAUUACAGUGGAUGGGAUAUAUUAGCUCUGGUGGUGGCAGCACAAGCUAUGAUGAUUCUGUUAAAGGACGAUUCACAAUCUCCAGAGAUAACAGUAAUAACAUGGUAUAUCUACAAAUGGACAAUGUGAAGACUGAGGACACUGCCGUCUAUUACUGUGCUAGAUACACACUGAUAGAAGACAAUGUCUGA
Molecule: non-coding RNA, 490 nt
Organism: Bufo gargarizans (Asiatic toad)
Lineage: Eukaryota; Metazoa; Chordata; Amphibia; Anura; Bufonidae
Source: the annotation of a RefSeq genome assembly